AGCGAACGCUGGCGGCAGGCUUAACACAUGCAAGUCGAACGGGCACUUCGGUGUCAGUGGCAGACGGGUGAGUAACGCGUGGGAACAUACCUCUUGGUUCGGAACAACACAGGGAAACUUGUGCUAAUACCGGAUAAGCCCUUACGGGGAAAGAUUUAUCGCCGAGAGAUUGGCCCGCGUCUGAUUAGCUAGUUGGUGUGGUAAAAGCGCACCAAGGCGACGAUCAGUAGCUGGCUGAGAGGAUGAUCAGCCACAUUGGGACUGAGACACGGCCCAAACUCCUACGGGAGGCAGCAGUGGGGAAUAUUGGACAAUGGGCGAAAGCCUGAUCCAGCAAUGCCGCGUGAGUGAAGAAGGCC
RNAcentral lists this ribosomal RNA (359 nucleotides) under uncultured bacterium. RNAcentral describes it as "bacterial SSU rRNA". It matches the Rfam family "Bacterial small subunit ribosomal RNA", at positions 29 to 416 of the family's 1533-position model. The record is from RNAcentral.